This 332-nucleotide ribosomal RNA is filed under the name Salmonella enterica subsp. enterica serovar Heidelberg. Its description in RNAcentral is "partial 23S ribosomal RNA". It matches the Rfam family "Bacterial large subunit ribosomal RNA", at positions 1213 to 1547 of the family's 2925-position model. Lineage: Bacteria; Pseudomonadati; Pseudomonadota; Gammaproteobacteria; Enterobacterales; Enterobacteriaceae. The record is from RNAcentral.
CUGAUGCGUUGUUGGGUAGGGGAGCGUUCUGUAAGCCUGCGAAGGUGACCUGUGAGGGUUGCUGGAGGUAUCAGAAGUGCGAAUGCUGACAUAAGUAACGAUAAAGCGGGUGAAAAGCCCGCUCGCCGGAAGACCAAGGGUUCCUGUCCAACGUUAAUCGGGGCAGGGUGAGUCGACCCCUAAGGCGAGGCCGAAAGGCGUAGUCGAUGGGAAACGGGUUAAUAUUCCCGUACUUGGUGUUACUGCGAAGGGGGGACGGAGAAGGCUAUGUUGGCCGGGCGACGGUUGUCCCGGUUUAAGCGUGUAGGUGUGUGUUCCAGGUAAAUCCGGUU